CCUACGGGGAGCAGCAGUGGGGAAUAUUGGACAAUGGGCGAAAGCCUGAUCCAGCCAUGCCGCGUGUGUGAAGAAGGCCUUCGGGUUGUAAAGCACUUUUAGUGGGGAAGAAAGCCUUGGGGCUAAUACCCUCGAGGAAGGACAUCACCCACAGAAUAAGCACCGGCUAACUCCGUGCCAGCAGCCGCGGUAAUACGGAGGGUGCGAGCGUUAAUCGGAAUUACUGGGCGUAAAGCGCGCGUAGGCGGUCUGAUAAGCCGGUUGUGAAAGCCCCGGGCUCAACCUGGGAACGGCAUCCGGAACUGUCAGGCUAGAGUGCAGGAGAGGAAGGUAGAAUUCCCGGUGUAGCGGUGAAAUGCGUAGAGAUCGGGAGGAAUACCAGUGGCGAAGGCGGCCUUCUGGACUGACACUGACGCUGAGGUGCGAAAGCGUGGGUAGCAAACAGGAUUAGAUACCCCUGUAGUC
Molecule: ribosomal RNA, 465 nt
Filed under: Vreelandella stevensii
Lineage: Bacteria; Pseudomonadati; Pseudomonadota; Gammaproteobacteria; Oceanospirillales; Halomonadaceae
Description: partial 16S ribosomal RNA
Rfam family: Bacterial small subunit ribosomal RNA
Source: RNAcentral